This is a non-coding RNA of Vigna umbellata (rice bean), 686 nucleotides long. Lineage: Eukaryota; Viridiplantae; Streptophyta; Magnoliopsida; Fabales; Fabaceae. The record is from RefSeq and is a predicted model, not a curated record.
UUUAAACUGUAACGUUGAGGUUUUCUUGCGCUUUUUGUUCUAUUGUAUUUUGUUCCCUCAGAAAACUGCUAAUCAUCUCUUUUUUGUGUUUUCUUCGUUUUUCCUGAUAAUUUGUUUUUUUCAAUAAGAACAAAAGAAAGAUCAGACAGAAGCAUGCAAAGAAGGGGUAAAAUUUAAAUUGGAAAAGGAGAUCGUGGACCUAGGUGAUGAUGAUAAUGAUGCUAGGUAUACAUCACAAGGAUUGCGUGGAGAGCAAACUAUUUCUCAAAAAAUUGCAGAAAAUGAACAUUUACAAAGGGUUGAAAUGAUCAAAAGACAACGAGCUUCUGAUAUUCAGGCUUCUACUUCCACAUUUACAUCCUCUGCUGAUUUAUUUGAAAAAGAAAAUCUCCCUGUAAAGAGAAGUGUCAUGGGCAAAGAUAUUCAAAGUCCUGCAAAAAAGAUAAAAAAAGGUUAUCCGGUUUAUAGGGCCCAGAGAGUAAGUGGGCCCAUUGAGCCUCUAGCCCAUGAAGUGAAGCACGGUUCAAAACAGGUAAGGGUAUAUGUGAGAAAGAAGCAGAGUUUUCUCUCCUAAUCAAAUUGUUAUUCUUUUUUGUUUUCAUCUUCAAAGCUCAGAUUCUAGACUUUGUUGCAAGGAUACAAGUUCAGUUUAUCUCAGACCAACAUGUUGUAAAGUUUUAGUAAAA